Molecule: transfer RNA, 87 nt
Filed under: Clostridium cochlearium
Lineage: Bacteria; Bacillati; Bacillota; Clostridia; Eubacteriales; Clostridiaceae
Also listed under: 1 other name
Description: tRNA_Ser_GGA
Rfam family: tRNA
About the family: Transfer RNA (tRNA) molecules are approximately 80 nucleotides in length. Their secondary structure includes four short double-helical elements and three loops (D, anti-codon, and T loops). Further hydrogen bonds mediate the characteristic L-shaped molecular structure. tRNAs have two regions of fundamental functional importance: the anti-codon, which is responsible for specific mRNA codon recognition, and the 3' end, to which the tRNAs corresponding amino acid is attached (by aminoacyl-tRNA synthetases). tRNAs cope with the degeneracy of the genetic code in two manners: having more than one tRNA (with a specific anti-codon) for a particular amino acid; and 'wobble' base-pairing, i.e. permitting non-standard base-pairing at the 3rd anti-codon position.
Source: RNAcentral
GGAGAGAUGUCCGAGAGGUUGAAGGAGCACGCCUGGAAAGCGUGUGUAGGGGCAACUCUACCGAGGGUUCGAAUCCCUCUCUCUCCG